Molecule: ribosomal RNA, 423 nt
Filed under: uncultured Faecalibacterium sp.
Lineage: Bacteria; Bacillati; Bacillota; Clostridia; Eubacteriales; Oscillospiraceae
Description: bacterial SSU rRNA
Rfam family: Bacterial small subunit ribosomal RNA
Source: RNAcentral
UGGGGAAUAUUGCACAAUGGGGGAAACCCUGAUGCAGCGACGCCGCGUGGAGGAAGAAGGUCUUCGGAUUGUAAACUCCUGUCGUUGGGGACGAUAAUGACGGUACCCAACAAGAAAGCCACGGCUAACUACGUGCCAGCAGCCGCGGUAAAACGUAGGUGGCAAGCGUUGUCCGGAAUUACUGGGUGUAAAGGGAGCGCAGGCGGAAGGACAAGUUGGAUGUGUAAUACCCAGGGCUUAACUCGGGUGCUGCAUCUAAAACUGUUAGACUUGAGUACUGGAGAGGAUAGUGGAAUUCCUAGUGUAGCGGUGGAAUGCGUAGAUAUUAGGAGGAACAUCAGUGGCGAAGGCGACUAUCUGGACAGCAACUGACACUGAGGCACGAAAGCGUGGGGAGCAAACAGGAUUAGAUACCCUGGUAGU